AGAAAAUAGUUAUGGGGGGGUGGCUGUGGGUCACCCAUGUCCUCAUGGGUCCCAGUGGGUCCCCGUGGGUCUCUAUGGGUCUCAGUGGGUCCCUGUAGGUCUCUAUGGGUCCCCAUGGGUCUCUAUAGGUCUUUAUGCAUCUCUAUGGGUCCCUGUGGGUCCCCGUGGGUUUCUAUGGGUCUCUAUGGGUCUUUAUUCAUCUCUAUGGGUCUUUAUGCAUCUCUAUGGGUCCCCAUGGGUCUCUAUAGGUCUCUAUGCAUCUC
This 263-nucleotide long non-coding RNA is filed under the name Numida meleagris (helmeted guineafowl). RNAcentral describes it as "lncRNA (ENSNMEG00000000870.1)". Lineage: Eukaryota; Metazoa; Chordata; Aves; Galliformes; Numididae. The record is from RNAcentral.